AUUGAACGCUGGCGGCAUGCCUUACACAUGCAAGUCGAACGGCAGCACGGGAGCAAUCCUGGUGGCGAGUGGCGAACGGGUGAGUAAAGUAUCGGAACGUGCCCAGUCGUGGGGGAUAACGUAGCGAAAGUUACGUUAAUACCGCAUACGAACUAUGGAUGAAAGCGGGGGAUCGCAAGACCUCGCGCGAUUGGAGCGGCCGAGAUCAGAUUAGGUAGUUGGUGGGGUAAAGGCUCACCAAGCCGACGAUCAGUAGCUGGUCUGAGAGGACGACCGGCCACACUGGGACUGAGACACGACCCAGACUCCUACGGGAGGCAGCAGUGGGGAAUUUUGGACAAUGGGCGAAAGCCUGAUCCAGCCAUGCCGCGUGCAGGAUGAAGGCCUUCGGGUUGUAAACUGCUUUUGUACGGAACGAAAAGGUUUGGCCUAAUAAGCUGAGCUCAUGACGGUACCGUAAGAAUAAGCACCGGCUAACUACGUGCCAGCCGCCGCCGUAA
RNAcentral lists this ribosomal RNA (500 nucleotides) under uncultured bacterium. RNAcentral's name for it is "partial 16S ribosomal RNA". It matches the Rfam family "Bacterial small subunit ribosomal RNA", at positions 30 to 523 of the family's 1533-position model. The record is from RNAcentral.